UCCUACUUGGAUAACUAUAGUAAUUCUAGAGCUGACCCAUGCUGAAGGGCGCUG
RNAcentral lists this ribosomal RNA (54 nucleotides) under Ailuropoda melanoleuca (giant panda). RNAcentral's name for it is "similar to 18S ribosomal RNA". The record is from RNAcentral. Lineage: Eukaryota; Metazoa; Chordata; Mammalia; Carnivora; Ursidae.